Molecule: long non-coding RNA, 1311 nt
Filed under: Bos indicus x Bos taurus (hybrid cattle)
Lineage: Eukaryota; Metazoa; Chordata; Mammalia; Artiodactyla; Bovidae
Description: lncRNA (ENSBIXG00000007823.1)
Source: RNAcentral
UGGGUGAAAAGGCACUGGCAUAAGGGCAGCCAGCUGCAGAAGGCCGGCCCAGGGCUGGGUGUGGCCACAGCUUUAGAAGCUGAUGCGAAUGAGUCACCACGGGCUGCAGUCACACCAGGGGACAGAGAGAGCUGGAAAGGCAGAGAAAAGCAACCCCGGGGGCUUGAGGCUGUGUCAGCCCUAAACAAGGCCUGGCCAGCUCGCUGGGCAAGAACAACUUCCAAAUGCCAACCAGGGGCUCCUCCUUGAGUCAGAGGACUCAGCCCUGCAAGUCCUUGAGCUUUGCCAGGGAAGGACACUCCUGGGUUUGUGGCUUUUCCUGCGUCUAGAUCACCAGCUAGAGCGUGAGCCUUCAUUUGUUCAUUCUGAGCCCAAGCAAACACUGCAAGCUUGAGACAGCAAUGUAAAGGGAAGCAGCAUUGAAGAGAGGCCACCUCAGGAAGCCUAGUGCAAAUCCCUGCCCUGCUGCUUCCUAGCAUCUGACUCAAGGAAAGUUACUCUCGGAGCCCCCAGUUAUAAGGGGGAGGCUAGUGGUGCCAACUCUAUUGCCAACCUCAAAGGGAAGUCGUUGCAUUGCAGUAAAUGGUGUGUGUCAAGCCCUCCACAAAGUACCUGGCACAUAGGAAGUCCUUCCCCCAAUGGCUGCUGCAUGCAGGCCAUCUGGAAUUGCCAGCAUCAUCCACUUGACCUUGAAGCUGCAGGUGGUCAACUGGCCGAGAAACAGGACGAUGAGAGGCCUACUGAUGUGCCCACAGUCCCACAGCUGACACCUGGCUUCCCCUCUCCCGCCCAGCACACCUUCCAUGACUAGUUAGAGGACAUCUCUGCAGAGUGUAUAAGAAAGAAGGAGACGGGGGAGAGCACCCACGUAGGGAGACCAAUACGAAAGUGUCCUCCUGACUUUCUGUCCUCUAAGGAGAAAAUACUGCAGAGUAGCUGGAGUCCAGAAUUUCCUUUCCUUAGGAGGCAAGAGGAAGAGGAUAAGAAAGGGCCUAAUUUCACAAAGAAACUCAUUGCUUUUACAUUUGAGAAGCUGUUGGGGUUUUUGUUUUUGUUUUUAAUUUUUUUUUUUUUUUUGACGUGUACCAUUUUUAAAGUCUUGAUUGAAUUUGUUACAGUAUUACUUCUGUUUUACCCUUUUUGGCCAGGAGGGAUCUUAGUUGCCAAAGAGGGAUUGAAUCUGCAUCUCCUGCACUGGAAGACGAAGUCUUAACCACUAGACCACGAGGGAAGUCCCUAGGAUACUGUUGUUGAGAUGAUAAUGAUAUCCUUGACAUCAAUGAAGAUAAUUGACCUUAAUCAACAAGAUUU